Molecule: transfer RNA, 63 nt
Filed under: Podarcis lilfordi (Lilford's wall lizard)
Lineage: Eukaryota; Metazoa; Chordata; Lepidosauria; Squamata; Lacertidae
Description: tRNA.Lys
Rfam family: tRNA
About the family: Transfer RNA (tRNA) molecules are approximately 80 nucleotides in length.
Source: RNAcentral
GAUGGCUCAGUCGGCAGAGCAUGAGACUCUUAAUCUCAGGGUUAUGGGUUUGAGUCCCAGGCA